CUUAUCUAUUGAAUAAAUUACCAAAACUUUUUGGUAAUUUAUUCAGUGAUAAACUACCAAAUGAUUGAUUUGAAUGAUUGAGUGCAUGGACAAAGAGGAUCUGUUCCCUACCUGCUGUGGGAAGUUUCUUUUAGUUUCUCCAUGAAAGAGACAGUUGUAUCUGGAGAGAAUCCAUAGCUAAAAUAAUGAUGAGAUUUCAUUUUGGAGGUCAUGGUGGGUCUUUUCUUAGCCCAUCUUAAAAAAUAUUACAAACAUAAUGCUGUAUGGGCUUGAACUGAUACAGUUCCUUCCUUUGGAAGGGUUAUUUGUUGUUUGAUUAAUAUUAUACAUUGAAUGACCAAAUAAAUGCAGAAGUAUAUGUGAUAAAGCUAUCCUUUCAUUACCACUUAAUGAAAUUUUGCUAUGUACCAGCCUCAUGUGUACCCUGUAUUGUCAUCUUUCUUAUAUAAUCUAUGUAUGUACAUCUAGGUAUGGCUUACAUCCACUUAAAGAGAAACUCCAAUGUUUAGAGCUCAAGGAAGGUGUCUUGGGACAUACAUUGCCCUAGUGACAGAGCAGCUACCUCUACAGCAGCUGGGUAGAAUGCCUACUCCAAUAAAAAUAUAAGCUUACUCCCUCACAUACUCAACCUAAUUUUUCUCUGUCCUUUAAAUCCCUGAUUCUGGCUGAGAUGUAAUAGGCAUUAAAUGGUUAUGGUCCACUUACAUGCCUUGUCUCCAGAUACUCAGAAACCUCUAAAA
Molecule: long non-coding RNA, 740 nt
Filed under: Bos taurus (domestic cattle)
Lineage: Eukaryota; Metazoa; Chordata; Mammalia; Artiodactyla; Bovidae
Description: long non-coding RNA NONBTAT012718
Source: RNAcentral